Long non-coding RNA from Folsomia candida, 617 nucleotides. RefSeq lists it as uncharacterized. The transcript has 3 exons. NCBI's taxonomy places the organism in Eukaryota, Metazoa, Arthropoda, Collembola, Entomobryomorpha, Isotomidae. The record is from RefSeq and is a predicted model, not a curated record.
GUUUAAUUGAAAAUUAUUCUACCUAAUAAACACAUUUGUAUUCAGACUUGCUUAAACAUACAUCAUAUAAAGUAUUUGUUGUAAGCUGGAAAAGCCUAAGAAUUUUCAUAAAAGAGGGCGACCACUUUUAAAAUCGAGAACUUCCUAUUUGAAUCAGUGGACGAUGGCGAAACUAAUCUUGGAAAAGGAUCUUUCGGGCAUGUGAUAAAAGUCCGGCAUAAGUUAGACCAACAAAUCUACGCCAUGAAGAAAAUUUCGAUCGCACUCCUAACAAAUGAUAUGUUGGAUGAAAACAAUUUGCAAAAGUUGCUGGACGAAUUACAACUCCAGAGCCAAAUUAACAGCGAAAACGUCGUAAAAUACAUAACCAAUUGGAUGUAGGGCGACAACGUAAAGGAAAAUAAGGCGAUGAAUCAACGGAGGACAUGGGUGUUGAUUUUGAAAACAAAGGCUAAUUUUCUUUUUGGGUCAAGCUUUCGACAAUGGAAUUCUUAUCAUCGUCAAGAUAUAAAAUUAAUAUUGCUUAAUAUUAAACUAGCCAAACUUCUAAAUUUCCCAUAUUACUCGCUAGUCUAUAACCAGCGAAUUCACUUUUGGAAUGGGUAAAAAAGUUUGUU